This 144-nucleotide microRNA precursor is filed under the name Gossypium hirsutum (cotton). RNAcentral's name for it is "MIR7502 microRNA precursor family". It matches the Rfam family "MIR7502 microRNA precursor family". The record is from Rfam by way of RNAcentral. Lineage: Eukaryota; Viridiplantae; Streptophyta; Magnoliopsida; Malvales; Malvaceae.
GAUUAAAAAUUUUGUCUAUUUGUAUUAUUAAAAAUUAGUGUGCUUGAGAGAAUAAUUAGACAAUAAUAUGUGACGUGUCAAUGUAUGUCAUGUUAACAUACAACGACUAACUUUUAAUAAUAUAAAUAGACAAAAAAAUUAACA